AACGAACGCUGGCGGCGUGCCUAACACAUGCAAGUCGAGCGCGAAUGGAGCAAUCCUAGUAGAGCGGCGCACGGGUGCGUAACACGUGGGUAAUCUGCCUCAAAGCCCGGGAUAACCUGCCGAAAGGCAAGCUAAUACCGGAUAAGCCUACGGACUCUUCGGGGUCUGAAGGAAAAGGUGGCCUCUGUAUACAAGCUAUCACUUUGAGAUGAGCCCGCGGCCCAUCAGCUCGUUGGCGGGGUAACGGCCCACCAAGGCAACGACGGGUAGCUGGUCUGAGAGGACGAUCAGCCACACUGGAACUGAGACACGGUCCAGACUCCUACGGGAGGCAGCA
This 337-nucleotide ribosomal RNA is filed under the name uncultured bacterium. Its description in RNAcentral is "bacterial SSU rRNA". It matches the Rfam family "Bacterial small subunit ribosomal RNA", at positions 29 to 353 of the family's 1533-position model. The record is from RNAcentral.